AUUGAACGCUGGCGGCAGGCCUAACACAUGCAAGUCGAACGAGUGGCGGACGGGUGAGUAAUGUCUGGGAAACUGCCUGAUGGAGGGGGAUAAAUACUGGAAACGGUAGCUAAUACCGCAUACCAUCGGAUGUGCCCAGAUGGGAUUAGCUAGUAGGUGGGGUAAAGGCUCACCUAGGCGACGAUCCCUAGCUGGUAUGAGAGGAUGACCAGCCAAACUGGAACUGGGACACGGUCCAACCGCCUCCGGGAGGCAGCAGGGGGGAAUAUUGCACAAUGGGCGAAAGCCUGCUGCAGCCAGGCCGCGUGUAUGAAUAAGGCCUUCGGGUUGUAAAGUACUUUCAGCGGGGAGGCGGUACCCGCAGAAGAAGCACCGGCUAACUCCGUGCCAGCAGCCGCGGUAAUUC
Molecule: ribosomal RNA, 406 nt
Filed under: uncultured bacterium
Lineage: Bacteria
Description: partial 16S ribosomal RNA
Rfam family: Bacterial small subunit ribosomal RNA
Source: RNAcentral